This 311-nucleotide unclassified non-coding RNA is filed under the name fungal sp. RNAcentral's name for it is "partial internal transcribed spacer region". The stretch from base 1 to 46 matches the Rfam family "Eukaryotic small subunit ribosomal RNA", at positions 1786 to 1831 of the family's 1831-position model. Lineage: Eukaryota; Fungi. The record is from RNAcentral.
AAGUCGUAACAAGGUAACCGUAGGUGAACCUGCGGUUGGAUCAUUACUAAAUCCAACUCUUGACGCUAGCAAUAGCUGAUGGAAAUUCAGAGUGGUUGGCUUAGGCUAGCCAUUCGACACACCAAUGUGAACCAAAUUGUACUUGGAGUUUUGUUGCCCAAGAGUUUCGGCUCAAGGGAGACUGCUUCAACUCAAUAUAAACUUUUACUAGUCAGCCUUUUUAUUCAUAAUUCGACCAGUUUGUCAUUUUGAUAAGCUCUAGGAAUAUAACAAUAAGAAAACAACUUUUGACAACGGAUCUCUUGGCUCUC